This is a long non-coding RNA of Folsomia candida, 1244 nucleotides long. RefSeq lists it as uncharacterized. The transcript is spliced from 3 exons. The record is from RefSeq and is a predicted model, not a curated record. NCBI's taxonomy places the organism in Eukaryota, Metazoa, Arthropoda, Collembola, Entomobryomorpha, Isotomidae.
ACUAGUUAAUAUUCCAAAGAUGAGUCAAUUGUGCAUACGCAGAAAUGAGUAUCUUAAGAUGACCACGACAUUCUUUCAAUUAUGCAUACCUUGUAAAUUCAUGAAGCAGUUAGAGACGCAGAUGUUUUAAUACUUUGACCCAAUUGUAAUAAAAAAACUCGUUCAGAAUUAAAUUAACCCCGACCAACUGUUCUCUUGUCGAUUUACAAAGUCAGGAUGGGCAAAAUGCUGAUAGAAACUCACAUCUCUAUGCACUCAAAACCAAUGGAGUGAACGUAUAACAACUAUUGUUGCGUGAUAAUUACCCGAUAGUUUGCGCCAAAUACCCAACGGGCAACAUGAGCAUACAAAUUAUUUCAUUAAUACUGUUGCAAAUCUGGGUACAAACAAUCUCAUCUUUUCCAACUAAUCCUAAGUUGAUGCCCCAACCGAUUGCAUCGUUACAAACAACGGAGCACGCCAUCACCUAUAACGAGUCUUGAAUCUCAUGGGCAAAAUGUUAAACCGGUAACUAAGCAGGAAAGUACAUAGAUAAAAUUCCUAAUUUUGGAAUUGUGGCAUCCUACUCUUUAAAACGACUAGAGUUCGGGAGGACUUUGACCUACAUAUUAUUACAUGCUUUUCUAAUGAGUAACAUUUUCUAGGAGGAGAAACCGAGAAUGUUAAAUGUCGAAAAGGACACGGAUUUUAAAUUAACGAGUAGUUAUCGGAAAUCCAAGCAGCAGAACUUCCCAAUGAUGAUUUACGGGGGCUGCUAUCCACCAGGCUUAUCAGCUUUUAAAGGAAACUCAUGGCCCACACCGAGACCGCCAUUAACCUUGGAAGAAAUACUUGUUUUCUGGAAAUACUUAUCGGGAAGAUCAGCCACACGACUUGCCGAUGGCGAUCCUCCUCUGAUAAACUUUAAUAAACCUAUAGAUGAAAAUUUUUUCUCAGCAGGACGCUGAAUGAAGUGGUUAAUUUGUUCUUACUCCAAGAUCGGAAAUAUAAUACAAGUGGUGUUAAUACAGGGCUAAGGUUUCAAAUGUACCGUCUUUCCCUCCGCAUUACUAACAUUCACCUAUGUAAAAUUUAUUUUAAAAUUAAAUAUGUGACAAGUCCUGAAAAUGUUUCGAAUUUUGUUGAAAAUGCAUCUUAUACGUGUACAUAUAUUGAAACUCGUUUGCAUACGGAUAUAUGUUACCUGAACAAUUUAAAAUAUUUAAUGACAUUUAUUUUUAAAAUGCUGAUUUUUGCAAAUACAA